This is a non-coding RNA of Podarcis lilfordi (Lilford's wall lizard), 143 nucleotides long. NCBI's taxonomy places the organism in Eukaryota, Metazoa, Chordata, Lepidosauria, Squamata, Lacertidae. The record is from the annotation of a GenBank genome assembly.
AUUUUUUUCCAGCAAGGCCUACCAUUAAUCAAGUGUAGUAUCAGUUCUUACAAUUUCAUAUCAGAUAUGUCCUUUAUUUGAGGAUUGUAUAUUAAAUAUGUUUUUGUUGAUUCCUGCAUUGCACGGGGGGUGUUGGACCAGAU